GAUGAACGCUGGCGGCGUGCCUAAUACAUGCAAGUCGAGCGAACAGACGAGGAGCUUGCUCCUCUGACGUUAGCGGCGGACGGGUGAGUAACACGUGGAUAACCUACCUAUAAGACUGGGAUAACUUCGGGAAACCGGAGGUAAUACCGGAUAAUAUAUUGAACCGCAUGGUUCAAUAGUGAAAGACGGUUUUGCUGUCACUUAUAGAUGGAUCCGCGCCGCAUUAGCUAGUUGGUAAGGUAACGGCUUACCAAGGCAACGAUGCGUAGCCGACCUGAGAGGGUGAUCGGCCACACUGGAACUGAGACACGGUCCAGACUCCUACGGGAGGCAGCAGUAGGGAAUCUUCCGCAAUGGGCGAAAGCUUGACGGAGCAACGCCGCGUGAGUGAUGAAGGUCUUCGGAUCGUAAAACUCUGUUAUUAGGGAAGAACAAAUGUGUAAGUAACUAUGCACGUCUUGACGGUACCUAAUCAGAAAGCCACGGCUAACUACGUG
Molecule: ribosomal RNA, 497 nt
Filed under: uncultured bacterium
Lineage: Bacteria
Description: partial 16S ribosomal RNA
Rfam family: Bacterial small subunit ribosomal RNA
Source: RNAcentral